AUGCUCCAAUGAUUGCUCCGUGGAGCUUAUAACUUGGAUGUUAAUGGAUACUUCUUGGAUUAUAAAGAGGAUGUCCUUUUUGGGUUCCAGUGCAAUAGCAAAAGCCCAAAAUAUUCAUGAAAAUGGUCAAGAUGCUGAGCCCAUUUCUGGAUUCCAGCCCAAGAUCCUUUCAAAUUUUGGGCUAGCUGUUCCCAAACGGAUGAACCAGACUGAGAAUCUGGGAAUCGGAUGCUCAUUCUAGACAUGGGUUAUGUCGGACAGUUCUUUGCUCAGGAGCUCCUGAAUGAAGGCUGGAUUGUCUCUGGGACUUGCACAAGCAGCAAGAAGAGAACGGAGCUUGAGAAAAGAGGAUUUGGUGGUCACCUUUUUGAUGCGAAUCAGCCACAGUAAGGUGCUUAUGUCUGGCUGGCAAUUGACAAGAAAAACACUUUGGACGGCAACAAGUAACAUCAAAGCCUUCUUGUGUUUUAUUGGUUGCUGAGUACCGAACGGAUUUUAGCCUUUUAAUGGUAAUGAUGAUUGAAGUCCAAUUACAUGGAUAUGAUUUUACGAACUUUUGUAAAUUCAACGGUAGAUGAUGAUCAGAUCACCUACACGAUGUUAGUUAGUAUGUAUGUCGAGUAUUACAAUUUUAAAGCAGAAUCAUGAAUUCCACGUCAAUUGAGCAUCUAAACAACACCACAAAUUUUAAAUAAUGGGAUUUUAUGAGCUAAAUUUAGCACAUCAAGUGCUCACCUUCAUGCAA
This is a non-coding RNA of Theobroma cacao (cacao), 745 nucleotides long. The record is from RefSeq and is a predicted model, not a curated record. NCBI's taxonomy places the organism in Eukaryota, Viridiplantae, Streptophyta, Magnoliopsida, Malvales, Malvaceae.